CAGAAGCACCAUGCUGCUCUAGAGGGACAGACAAACCAGAAGUGAGACACCAGAGAUACCAAGUGCUAUCUUUGAAAAAUGGACUUUUAAAAAACAUCCCCAUCCAGAAGUGCAUGAACACAGAUGAAGAAGAGGCAUCAGCCUGUGUAACAUCUCAGAUGGCUGUGGAAGGUGACAGAAAGAAGCAAGACUUGACUUAAACAGUGAGAAGACAUUACAUGACUAAAAUGAAGUAGCUCAAAGAAAAAUUCACCAAUGCCCCAAAUCCACCAAAAAUGCCCCAAAGAAAGGGCAAGCUGACUUGGAAAACCAGGAGCCAUCUCUACUCCUACCAGCUGGAGCUUCUCCCACUUCUACAGCCAUUAAAGUUAUGAAAUGUUUGGAUGUUUUACUAAUUCUAUUAAGAAGCAGAAAGGCUGUUCCCACCAUGACCAGAAAAUGAAACAGCAGCAAUCACACGGGAAAACGCUCAACUUCCCAGACUCAGCGGUUUUAUUAGUGCAAAUACCCUCCAGACAGACAGCCACACAUUUUCCUGCUUCCUUACACUGAACCCUAAUUCAGCCUGGGGUGGCUAAGCUGGUGCUACUAACCUUCUUCUCCAGCUCAUUUCACCUGCCGGAAGGAGUGGCCUGCUGAUGAGGAUUUUGACCAAGGAUUCUAACACAUUUGUUGUUUAUUUUGUCUCUCUUUCUUUUGUGGAUUGCCUGAGUAACUUUGGGCAAGUUGUUGGUGUCCCAGCUCCCCAGCUAUGAAAUGGAAAUAGUAUGCUGAAAAACUGCAUCAAGAAAGUUAAUUUUGAUGAACCUGGUAUAUGCUGCUAAUAAAAAUUUUGGAAACACCAUUUCCCAGGUUCCA
Long non-coding RNA from Parus major (Great Tit), 858 nucleotides. RefSeq lists it as uncharacterized. Lineage: Eukaryota; Metazoa; Chordata; Aves; Passeriformes; Paridae. The record is from RefSeq and is a predicted model, not a curated record. The transcript is spliced from 3 exons.